This 253-nucleotide ribosomal RNA is filed under the name uncultured bacterium. RNAcentral describes it as "partial 16S ribosomal RNA". It matches the Rfam family "Bacterial small subunit ribosomal RNA", at positions 524 to 776 of the family's 1533-position model. The record is from RNAcentral.
UCCGUCGGGGGCUAGCGUUGUCCGGAAUCAUUGGGCGUAAAGCGCGUGUAGGCGGUCCGGUAAGUCCGCUGUGAAAGUCGGGGGCUCAACCCUCGGAUGCCGGUGGAUACUGGCGGGCUUGAAUCCGGGAGAGGGAUGUGGAAUUCCAGGUGUAGCGGUGAAAUGCGUAGAUAUCUGGAGGAACACCGGUGGCGAAGGCGGCAUCCUGGACCGGUAUUGACGCUGAGGCGCGAAAGCUAGGGGAGCAAACGGG